AGGAUCGCCUGGGUCAGGCCGUAGGCACCGAGAGCGAGCCCGACCAGCGUGUGGUCGCGGCCGCCGGGUAUCGUUUCCGCGUAGAGCGCGAGCACGGGCAGCACGAUGAACAUGCCGAGCAUCCGCAGACCGAAAAUGCCCGCCAGGCCGACGGUUGCGCGGCGUUCGACCGAGGUCAUCCGCACCUUCGGUGCGCGCGAAACCGGGGCGGCUGCUUCGGCGGAUGCGGGAUCGUGCGGCAUGGAAAAACGCGAAGGAACGAACGUCUUAGAAACCGCUCGCGAAUGGCGGUAUAGUAGCAGGUUGCCUCGUCGCCCGGCAUGCGUCGGACGGCUUAGGGCGAAAGUCCUAACAGCGGCGAACGUCUCCAGAAUCGACCGGCAUGGAAUACAUCCGCAUUCGCGGCGCCCGCACGCACAACCUCAAGAACGUCAACCUCGACCUGCCGCGCCAACGGCUGAUCGUCGUGACCGGACUUUCCGGAUCCGGCAAGAGCUCGCUCGCCUUCGACACGCUGUACGCCGAAGGCCAGCGCCGGUACGUCGAGUCGCUGUCCGCGUACGCGCGCCAGUUCCUGCAGUUGAUGGAGAAGCCCGACGUCGACCUGAUCGAGGGACUCUCCCCGGCGAUCUCGAUCGAGCAGAAGGCGACGUCGCACAAUCCGCGCUCGACCGUGGGAACGGUUACCGAGAUCCACGAUUAUCUGCGGCUCCUGUAUGCGCGCGUCGGGGAUCCGUAUUGCCCCGACCAUCCCGAGCAGAAGCUCGCCGCGAUGACCAUUUCGCAGAUGGUCGACGCGACGCUGUCGUUUCCCGAGGACACGAGGCUCAUGAUCCUCGCGCCGGUCGUCGUCAACCGGAAGGGCGAACAGCAGGAACUCUUCGUCGAGCUCCGCGCGAAGGGAUUCGUGCGCGUCCGCGUGGACGGCACGGUGCACGAAAUCGACGCGGUGCCGCGGCUCGCCAAGAACACGAAACAUACGGUCGAGGUCGUCGUCGACCGGCUGCGCGUGCGGCCGGACCUGAAGCAGAGGCUCGCCGAGUCCUACGAGACGGCACUGCGCAACGGCGACGGGCGCGCGAUCGCGGUCGAGAUGGACGGUGGCCGGGAGCACCUGUUCUCGG
Molecule: unclassified non-coding RNA, 1124 nt
Filed under: uncultured fungus
Lineage: Eukaryota; Fungi
Description: sequence contains 18S rRNA gene, ITS1, 5.8S rRNA gene, ITS2, 28S rRNA gene
Source: RNAcentral